AGAGGGAUUGUUGGGUCAGAUGGUGGUUCCAUUCCCAGAUUUUCAAGGAAUCUCCAUACUUUUUUCCAUAUUGGCUGCACCAAUUUGCAGUCCCACCAAUAAU
RNAcentral lists this microRNA precursor (103 nucleotides) under Marmota monax (woodchuck). Lineage: Eukaryota; Metazoa; Chordata; Mammalia; Rodentia; Sciuridae. The record is from RNAcentral.